Cygnus olor (mute swan) is the source of this 649-nucleotide long non-coding RNA. RefSeq lists it as uncharacterized. The transcript is spliced from 2 exons. Lineage: Eukaryota; Metazoa; Chordata; Aves; Anseriformes; Anatidae. The record is from RefSeq and is a predicted model, not a curated record.
AGAGCAUAUCUUACAUCUGAACUUGUGUGCAUAUGCCAGCUAAAGUGAUCGCCUUAACCGCUAGCUGGACAACUAGAUGUCAGAAGUGCCUCCGCUGUUUGAAAUGGAAGCUAUUGUUCAAUGUAGCUCAGAGGAUUUGCAACACUGUCCUGAGGACGAUAAGGAUGAAGAGGAGGGUAGUUAGCAAUCUUAAACGGGAGCAUUGUUAAAUAGUUCUCACUUGUGUGUCAUAAUCUCAGCAGCCCAAGGAAAAAUCGUGACCUGCAUCUUAAUGCCAGCUAGGGCAUAAGUGUGCCCUUAGCACGGUAGCUCCUGAAAGCUACGGUCAGGCUUGUGCCUCUCGAGAGUGCCUUGCAAGCAAGUACAGUCCCUCCACCGAGCACUUCUAGAAUCUAAAGGCAAGAUGCAAAAAUGUACUGGCUACGCUGACAGAGGCACGCUCACACCCAAGCCUGCAGUUCGGUGACUGAGAGAGGAUUUUUUCAGAUAGUCCGCUCUCCCAUUCAUGAGGCUCUCUGAGAAAGUGUAUUCUGACAUGUAUUCUGACAUCCUUUACCUGCAAGUAAAAUGUGUUUGUGGAAAAGCCCCUAAAGAGUGAAAACUCGUUGGUUUGACAAAACGCGAAAAAAUAAACACAAACUCUUGAUUA